GAUGAACGCUAGCGGCAGGCUUAACACAUGCAAGUCGAGGGGUAGAAGGAGCUUGCUCCUUUGAGACCGGCGCACGGGUGCGUAACGCGUAUGCAAUCUACCUUUUGCAGAGGGAUAGCCCAGAGAAAUUUGGAUUAAUACCUCAUAGUAUGUGAGGAUGGCAUCAUUUUCACAUUAAAGUCACAACGGCAAAAGAUGAGCAUGCGUCCCAUUAGCUAGUUGGUAAGGUAACGGCUUACCAAGGCUACGAUGGGUAGGGGUCCUGAGAGGGAGAUCCCCCACACUGGUACUGAGACACGGACCAGACUCCUACGGGAGGCAGCAGUGAGGAAUAUUGGACAAUGGGCGCAAGCCUGAUCCAGCCAUGCCGCGUGCAGGAUGACGGUCCUAUGGAUUGUAAACUGCUUUUGUACAGGAAGAAACACUACUUCGUGAAGUAGCUUGACGGGUACUGUAAGAAUAAGGAUCGGCUAAACUCCGU
This 481-nucleotide ribosomal RNA is filed under the name uncultured bacterium. RNAcentral's name for it is "bacterial SSU rRNA". It matches the Rfam family "Bacterial small subunit ribosomal RNA", at positions 28 to 506 of the family's 1533-position model. The record is from RNAcentral.